AACGAACGCUGGCGGCAGGCCUAACACAUGCCAGUCGAACGCCCCGCAAGGGGAGUGGCAGACGGGUGAGUAACACGUGGGAACCUUCCCUAUAGUACGGAAUAGCCCAGGGAAACUUGGAGUAAUACCGUAUACGCCCGAAAGGGGAAAGAAUUUCGCUAUAGGAUGGGCCCGCGUAGGAUUAGCUAGUUGGUGAGGUAAUGGCUCACCAAGGCGACGAUCCUUAGCUGGUUUGAGAGAACGACCAGCCACACUGGGACUGAGACACGGCCCAGACUCCUACGGGAGGCAGCAGUGGGGAAUAUUGGACAAUGGGCGCAAGCCUGAUCCAGCCAUGCCGCGUGAGUGAUGAAGGCCUUAGGGUUGUAAAGCUCUUUUGGCGGGGACGAUAAUGACGGUACCCGCAGAAUAAGUCCCGGCUAACUUCGU
This 429-nucleotide ribosomal RNA is filed under the name uncultured bacterium. RNAcentral's name for it is "partial 16S ribosomal RNA". It matches the Rfam family "Bacterial small subunit ribosomal RNA", at positions 29 to 506 of the family's 1533-position model. The record is from RNAcentral.